RNAcentral lists this ribosomal RNA (518 nucleotides) under uncultured bacterium. RNAcentral describes it as "bacterial SSU rRNA". It matches the Rfam family "Bacterial small subunit ribosomal RNA", at positions 992 to 1509 of the family's 1533-position model. The record is from RNAcentral.
AGAACUUAGCAGAGAUGCUUUGGUGCCUUCGGGAACUCUGAGACAGGUGCUGCAUGGCUGUCGUCAGCUCGUGUUGUGAAAUGUUGGGUUAAGUCCCGCAACGAGCGCAACCCUUAUCCUUUGUUGCCAGCGGUCCGGCCGGGAACUCAAAGGAGACUGCCAGUGAUAAACUGGAGGAAGGUGGGGAUGACGUCAAGUCAUCAUGGCCCUUACGAGUAGGGCUACACACGUGCUACAAUGGCGCAUACAAGAGAAGCGACCUCGCGAGAGCAAGCGGACCUCAUAAAGUGCGUCGUAGUCCGGAUUGGAGUCUGCAACUCGACUCCAUGAAGUCGGAAUCGCUAGUAAUCGUAGAUCAGAAUGCUACGGUGAAUACGUUCCCGGGCCUUGUACACACCGCCCGUCACACCAUGGGAGGUGGGUUGACAAAAGAAGUAGGUAGCUUAACCUUCGGGAGGGCGCUUACCACUUUGUGAUUCAUGACUGGGGUGAAGUCGUAACAAGGUAAGCGUAGCGAG